RNAcentral lists this ribosomal RNA (255 nucleotides) under uncultured bacterium. Its description in RNAcentral is "partial 16S ribosomal RNA". It matches the Rfam family "Bacterial small subunit ribosomal RNA", at positions 524 to 776 of the family's 1533-position model. The record is from RNAcentral.
UACGUAGGGUGCAAGCGUUUAAUCGGAAUUACUGGGCGUAAAGAGCGCGUAGGCGGCACGGUACGACCGGUGUGAAAGCCCCCGGCUCAACUGGGGAGGGUCACCGGUAACGGCCGAGCUACGAGUGCAGGAGAGGGAAGUGGAACUCCGGGAGUAGCGGUGAAAUGCGUAGAGACCCGGAGGAACACCAGUGGCGAAGGCGGCUUCCUGGUCUGCAACUGACGCUGUGGCGCGAAAGCUAGGGGAGCAAACGGG